GACGAACGCUGGCGGCGUGCUUAACACAUGCAAGUCGAACGGAAAGGCCCUGCUUUUGUGGGGUGCUCGAGUGGCGAACGGGUGAGUAACACGUGAGUAACCUGCCCUUGACUUUGGGAUAACUUCAGGAAACUGGGGCUAAUACCGGCUAGGAGCUCCUGCUGCAUGGUGGGGGUUGGAAAGUUUCGGCGGUUGGGGAUGGACUCGCGGCUUAUCAGCUUGUUGGUGGGGUAGUGGCUUACCAAGGCUUUGACGGGUAGCCGGCCUGAGAGGGUGACCGGCCACAUUGGGACUGGGAUACGGCCCAGACUCCUACGGGAGGCAGCAGUGGGGAAUAUUGCACAAUGGGCGGAAGCCUGAUGCAGCAACGCCGCGUGCGGGAUGACGGCCUUCGGGUUGUAAACCGCUUUCGCCUGUGACGAAGCGUGAGUGACGGUAAUGGGUAAAGAAGCACCGGCUAACUACGUG
This 468-nucleotide ribosomal RNA is filed under the name uncultured bacterium. Its description in RNAcentral is "partial 16S ribosomal RNA". It matches the Rfam family "Bacterial small subunit ribosomal RNA", at positions 28 to 507 of the family's 1533-position model. The record is from RNAcentral.